AUUGAACGCUGGCGGCAGGCCUAACACAUGCAAGUCGAGCGGAUGAAGGGAGCUUGCUCCUGGAUUCAGCGGCGGACGGGUGAGUAAUGCCUAGGAAUCUGCCUGGUAGUGGGGGAUAACGUCCGGAAACGGGCGCUAAUACCGCAUACGUCCUGAGGGAGAAAGUGGGGGAUCUUCGGACCUCACGCUAUCAGAUGAGCCUAGGUCGGAUUAGCUAGUUGGUGGGGUAAAGGCCUACCAAGGCGACGAUCCGUAACUGGUCUGAGAGGAUGAUCAGUCACACUGGAACUGAGACACGGUCCAGACUCCUACGGGAGGCAGCAGUGGGGAAUAGUGGACAGUGGGCGAGAGCCUGAUCCAGCCAUGCCGCGUGUGUGAAGAAGGUCUUCGGAUUGUAAAGCACUUUAAGUGGGGAGGAAGGGCAGUAAGUUAAUACCUAGCUGUUUUGACGUUACCAGCAGAAUAAGCACCGGCUAACUUCGUG
Molecule: ribosomal RNA, 484 nt
Filed under: uncultured bacterium
Lineage: Bacteria
Description: partial 16S ribosomal RNA
Rfam family: Bacterial small subunit ribosomal RNA
Source: RNAcentral